Molecule: unclassified non-coding RNA, 342 nt
Filed under: Hevea brasiliensis (rubber tree)
Lineage: Eukaryota; Viridiplantae; Streptophyta; Magnoliopsida; Malpighiales; Euphorbiaceae
Source: RNAcentral
GGGAGAGGCGUGAAAGGCGUGAGAAACAUGAAAAGUAUGAGAAGAGACACUCUCGUGAUUCCAAUGAUAGGAAGAAACGGAGUAGAGACAAAGAAAGGGGAAGACAUGACUCUGAUUGAAAAUGAGGAACAUGGUCUACACCAUGCCAUAUACUCUGUUAACUUGACGUGGGACGAACCAAUCCAUUACUAGAAAUUCAUCGAGUGUGUGCCAACUGAUAAUUUGCUCUGCAUCUACAUUCCAUGCAUUAAUAGUAGUUCUGUAAGGUCAAAAUCCUCAAUGUUUGAUUAUAUUAUCGUUCUUUCUCUGAUAUCAAGUUAUAGGUACAGUUUUUCAACCUCC